CAUACUUGUUCAGGCAAACAAAAUAAUUUAAACAACAUAUAUACAUCGUUAUUUUUGUAAGAAAGACUAAGUUUAAAUUUGUGUUUUCUAGAUGUAAAGCUUUUGCUACCUAUUAUAGCUCGUUAAAAUUCAUGUACUAACAACAUUGCGUUAACAAGGCUACUUUAGCUAGUUAGGCCAGAACAAAGAUGACUACACAUUUUAAAUAUAUAAACUAAAAACAAUGUCAACAUAAUAUUGCGUUACACAAAAAGGAAACAUGUACUUACUUAAACAAUGGUAGUCGAUGACUUUGCUAGCUAGCAGACUGUAACUCGCGAUUGAGCGACGAACUGAUGCGAAUGUGUCCAAACCAACAUGGCCGGUCGAUUUUGAGAGUAGCCUAUUUAAAAGCGUCUUGCCGCCGAAGGACCGCGGUUUUUAGACCCAGGCAACCGCCAGAGAAAAUGAAGCAGUCAAAAAAUCUCGCAAGAAAUGGGAGUGACGUAUUCGGCGGCAAACGUUUCAUCCCCGCCAGCAGGACGCACCUAUAGCCGACAGCUAAGGGCCGGCGGCAAAAAGAAGCCUUGCGGAUAUUUUUUGCUAUCUGGGAAACAUAACAGCCUUAAUUUCACUGAAGAUAUUGCAUAUUCAGUAAUGAAACAAUAAUUGAACUGUGCAAAGCUAAUGAUAUGUACAACACACCUCGACACCUUCUAUCCAGAAAUUCAAGAAAGAGGGAACAGAAAUUUGAAAAUCUAACAAAGUGUAUAGUUUAGUUACAGGAUCACAAAUUAAGCAUCACAGCAAUACAUUUUACAUACCAGCUCUGAAGUCUACAGAUGGCUCAACAUUUUCCUGGUUUUCUGGAAUCGAUGCAACUUCUGUAGCAUGUAGUGAUUCAAGUGAAUGUCCUGUUUGUCCCUCUCAACUCUUUUCAAUAUUAUUUUCCUUUUGGCCCAGUAACUAGACAUUGUGACUAACAAUGCAUUUACCUUUGAAGCCAAAACGAUUGACCAACAGUAGGUCUCUUGGGUGAAGAUAACCGGUUAUGCUCUGGCCAAGGUAUCUGCAAGAAAACGAAACAUACUUUCUUAAACGAUGGUAGUCGAUGACUUUGCUAGCUAGCAAAACUGCAACUGAUGCGAAUGUGUGUCCAAACCAACAUUGCCGGUCGAUUUUGAGAGUAGCCUUGUAUUUAAAAGCGUCUUGCCACCGGACGACCGCGGUCCAUUAGACCGAGGCAACCGCCAGAGAAAAUGAAGCAGUAAGACCGGCGGCAUCUCGCAAGAAAUGGGAGUGAUGUAUUCGGCGGCAAACGUUUCAUCCCCGCCUGCAGGACGCACCUAUAGCCAACAGCUUAGGGCUGGCGGCAAAAAAAAGUUGUGCAGAUAUUUUUUGCUAUCUGGGAAUAGCAGGGUAGACGUUCAAUGCAUCUUGAAGUCCCUUCUCUCUUCUACUUGCUAGCUUAAAAUGUGCUCGCAAGCUAAUAAAAUGGAAGAGGAACAUUACUGGGGUGUCCGGUUUCCGAUUAUUUAUGAUGCUUCUUUGGCUUCAUACAGAGAUAUAAUUAAAAAAAAUGUAUAAAUGGAAAAAGAUGUUCAGAGUUAGGUUCAUGCAUAAAGAGUGAUACAUGCAUAAAGUAAAACGUAGUAAAUUGCUAUUUGAACACUGCCAUGGCAUUGUACAUCAUACCUUUUUAGUGGUGGAGUCAUGCAAAUAAUAAAUACUUGUAAUUGCGGAGACUGAUGUUUCCCCUAUACUGACUGGCAUAAAUUGAGAUGACACGCCCUGCCCUAGUGGGCUGUGUGCACUCAAGGGAGGGCUCUGCCACAGAUCGCCAGAGAUCACA
This is a long non-coding RNA of Esox lucius (northern pike), 1831 nucleotides long. The record is from Ensembl. Lineage: Eukaryota; Metazoa; Chordata; Actinopteri; Esociformes; Esocidae.